AAUCAAGGAAUUAUUGAAGAAGAUCCCAAAACUUUCAGUCAAGAUUUGAUUUACUUUGAUUCCCUACAGAACAUGUCCUGUCCCAAUCUACCUUAUAAAUUACCAACCACCAUUUUGAUUUCUUCCAUGCCCAAACAUCUUGGAUUUCAGACAAUGUCGAAGCUCUCCUUCAGAUUGUUCUUUGCCAUCCUCCUUAUUUCCUCAGUUUGUAUGAUGAUGCAUGAAGUCCAUGGACAAGAAAUGUGCCAUGGACGAAUCCCUGGUGAUGGUUCUUGUGACGCUGGAACUUGCAGCAGCCAAUGUGGUCAAUCCUUCCCAGGAAGCCAGGGAAGUUGCGUUCAGACAUUUAUCAAUCGUUUCACUUGUCAGUGUACCUGGCCUUGCAGUUAGUGAAACAGCCACCAAACCUUGUUCAUCUUCCUCAUUUCUCUGCUUUAUGUAAUAAAUAUAGCUUUCGUUUUGAAGUUUGAACCAAUAUAUCAGCUAUUUUGUAUCUACAUCUUCUGGGGUUUGGAUUAAAUUAAGUUUAUUGCUGUUUCCUCUGAA
This is a long non-coding RNA of Gossypium arboreum, 546 nucleotides long. RefSeq lists it as uncharacterized. The record is from RefSeq and is a predicted model, not a curated record. The transcript is spliced from 2 exons. NCBI's taxonomy places the organism in Eukaryota, Viridiplantae, Streptophyta, Magnoliopsida, Malvales, Malvaceae.